This 494-nucleotide ribosomal RNA is filed under the name uncultured bacterium. Its description in RNAcentral is "partial 16S ribosomal RNA". It matches the Rfam family "Bacterial small subunit ribosomal RNA", at positions 28 to 523 of the family's 1533-position model. The record is from RNAcentral.
GAUGAACGCUGGCGGCGUGCUUAACACAUGCAAGUCGAACGGGAAUUACUUUAUUGAAACUUCGGUCGAUUUAAUUUAAUUCUAGUGGCGGACGGGUGAGUAACGCGUGGGUAACCUGCCUUAUACAGGGGGAUAACAGUCAGAAAUAGCUGCUAAUACCGCAUAAGCGCACAGAGCUGCAUGGCUCAGUGUGAAAAACUCCGGUGGUAUAAGAUGGACCCGCGUUGGAUUAGCUGGUUGGUGGGGUAACGGCCCACCAAGGCGACGAUCCAUAGCCGGCCUGGGAGGGUGAACGGCCACAUUGGGACUGAGACACGGCCCAGACUCCUACGGGAGGCAGCAGUGGGGGAUAUUGCACAAUGGGGGAAACCCUGAUGCAGCGACGCCGCGUGAAGGAAGAAGUAUCUCGGUAUGUAAACUUCUAUCAGCAGGGAAGAUAGUGACGGUACCUGACUAAGAAGCCCCGGCUAACUACGUGCCAGCCGCCGCAGUAA